ACGAACGCUGGCGGCGUGCUUAACACCUGCCAGUCGAACGGAAAGGCCCUGCUUUUGUGGGGUGCUCGAGUGGCGAACGGGUGAGUAACACGUGAGUAACCUGCCCUUGACUUUGGGAUAACUUCAGGAAACUGGGGCUAAUACCGGAUAGGAGCUCCUGCUGCAUGGUGGGGGUUGGAAAGUUUCGGCGGUUGGGGAUGGACUCGCGGCUUAUCAGCUUGUUGGUGGGGUAGUGGCUUACCAAGGCUUUGACGGGUAGCCGGCCUGAGAGGGUGACCGGCCACAUUGGGACUGAGAGACGGCCCAGACGCCUACGGGAGGCAGCAGUGGGGAAUAUUGCACAAUGGGCGGAAGCCUGAUGCAGCAACGCCGCGUGCGGGAUGACGGCCUUCGGGUUGUAAACCGCUUUCGCCUGUGACGAAGCGUGAGUGACGGUAAUGGGUAAAGAAGCACCGGCUAACUACGUG
RNAcentral lists this ribosomal RNA (467 nucleotides) under uncultured bacterium. Its description in RNAcentral is "partial 16S ribosomal RNA". It matches the Rfam family "Bacterial small subunit ribosomal RNA", at positions 29 to 507 of the family's 1533-position model. The record is from RNAcentral.